RNAcentral lists this long non-coding RNA (2304 nucleotides) under Anas platyrhynchos platyrhynchos (common mallard). RNAcentral's name for it is "lncRNA (ENSAPLG00000026585.1)". Lineage: Eukaryota; Metazoa; Chordata; Aves; Anseriformes; Anatidae. The record is from RNAcentral.
CUUACAACAACCUCACCAGACAAGCUGCGUGCUUUCCUUGUGCAGCAGGCUACUACUGCCCAGAAAAUACUACCAGCUACAGUGAGAAUCCGUGCCCAGCUGGCUUCUACUGCCCCAAAGGUGAGAUGAGCCCAGGGGACAAGGUCAGCUAUCAGCCAGGGUGAAAUAAUUUUAUUUUAAGGCAGGGAGUGGUCCCUGUGAAAUAAACCUUCAGCCGUCAGUCUGGUUCUUCACAGAAAAAUAACCCAAUCAUUUAAACCACAGACAAGGCUGUCAUUUAACCCCCCCACCAGUAAGCUGAUCAGCACCUGGAGGUUGUCGUGGCCCUGAAAGCCGGGCUGUGCACUGGGGAGGUCAACAUGGAGAUAAACUGGCAAAAAUCAUAGAAUCACAGUCAUAAACUGGCAAAGAUGAAGGAGGUGAUGCUGAGGGAUUAAUAGCCAAGAUCCUAUGUAUAGUCCGUGAAACAUUCUGCCUUUAUUUCAAAGGAACCAGGUUUGCUACUGAGUUUCCCUGUCCUCGGGGCUACUUUAACCCAGACCCCAUGGCACAGAGCUUGGAUAGCUGCUUGCCCUGUCCUCCUGGGCAUUACUGUGGGAAGGAGAACUUGACAGCUGCAUCAGGCAAGUGUGAUGCAGGAUGGUUUUGCAUCUCAGCUGCUUGGACGCCACGGCCUUUUGAUCUGGAUAAUUACACCAACGCCAACUGCCUCUGUCCCGCCACUGCCACUGGAGGGAAGUGCAUAGCUGGUUUCUACUGUCCCACAGGAAGCCCAGAGCCUCUUCCCUGCCCUCCAGGGUUUUACUGCAAUGCCCCAGGUCUGUCCAUCCCCAGUGGGGAAUGUGCUGCUGGCUUUUACUGUAAAGGUGGAGCAACCCUGCCUAAUCCAAGAGAUGAUGUGACUGGGAAUAUCUGCCCUGCAGGGACUUACUGCACUGCAGCAUCGGCAGUCCCCACGCUCUGCCCAGCAGGCACUUUCUCUAGCCUGCCAGGGAGGAGAACACUUUCUGAGUGCCAGCCUUGCCCCUCUGGCUUCUAUUGUGAGUUACCUGGUCUCAGUGCCCCCACUGGAGAGUGCUGGGAAGGUUAUUACUGUGACAACCAACAAGGGCCAGUUAUAGAUUUCACCCUUUACCCGUGCCCACAAGGUUUUUACUGCCCACCAGGGACAAACAGGAGCACUCAGUACAGCUGUCCUGAAGGAACCUUUGGACCAAGGCAAAGGCUAAGAACUAUCAAGGAAUGUCAGAGAUGCCCACCGGGAAAAUACUGUGAAUCCUCUGGACUUGCUGCCCCAACAGGUCCAUAAAACAUUUAAGUGACUUCAGGCUUCAUGUAAGGAUGGUUUGAAUAUGUGCCUAAGGAGAAAUGUGUGUUUAAGGACCUGCCCAGUCAUGGAGGCACUGCUUGCAAGAUCUGAGCUAAGUAGGAUGCUUCCCUAUUUAGGAGCUGUCAGCUUGUCAUCUGCUACCAGUUCUCCACUCCCCUAUGGUUACAAGCAACUUCUCCACUUGAUGGCCAUCAUUUAUUUCUAGACCAGCGCUGGCUCUACACCACGCUAUAGCAAAUGUUUGUAUUUCAGUAUGUAUGCUGAAACCUCUAUCUUUGUGCCUAUUUUUAAUACAGUUGUGUGCUUUUUGUAUGUUGUUCCAUUUUAUAGGAGACUGUGCUGAGGGAUUCUGGUGCAAAAGUGGUGCCCGAGUAAGAAAUCCUCAAGAUGGAGAAUCAGGACUUCCUUGUCCACCUGGUCAUUAUUGUCCAGAAGGUAGGAUGCUUUGCUAAAGCACAUUUUUUCUUAUUUCAUGUAAAGCACGAGGUGGCAUUUCCUCCCUCUGGUGCCAUUCAUUUUCCCAGGUGCACCACUUCCCCUAGAGUGCCCUCCUGGCACUUGGUCUUGCAGUGAAGGCAGCAGCAGUUUGCAGCAAUGCCUGCCUUGCCCUGGGGGAUACUACUGCAAUAGCUCUGGACAGAGGGCUCCCACAGGACCCUGCAGCCCAGGGUAAGAGAAGAUUGAACACAUUUAUGUACUCUUUAUAAGGAAAGGUGUUCUCCAAGUGGUCUUCUUCACCAUCUUGAUAUAAUGACAGUAUGCUCCUAUACUCACUGCUGCAGGUAUUACUGUGUCACCAGGGCCCAGACCCCAGCACCCACAGAUGGCCUCUCGGGAGCUCCAUGUCCUGUCAAUCACUUUUGUCCUCUUGGAUCCAGGAGUCCAACACCAUGUCCUGCUGGCUCCUACAUGCCACAGACCCAUGGAGAGAAGUGCCAGGCUUGCCCAGAGGGUGAAUACUGUGCCCCUGGGGA